This 465-nucleotide ribosomal RNA is filed under the name uncultured Treponema sp. RNAcentral's name for it is "bacterial SSU rRNA". It matches the Rfam family "Bacterial small subunit ribosomal RNA", at positions 338 to 795 of the family's 1533-position model. The record is from RNAcentral. Lineage: Bacteria; Pseudomonadati; Spirochaetota; Spirochaetia; Treponematales; Treponemataceae.
CCUACGGGAGGCUGCAGCUAAGAAUAUUCCGCAAUGGACGGAAGUCUGACGGAGCGACGCCGCGUGGAUGAAGAAGGCUGAAAAGUUGUAAAAUCCUUUUGUUGAUGAAGAAUAAGGGGAAGAGGGAAUGCUUCUCUGAUGACGGUAAUCGGCGAAUAAGCCCCGGCUAAUUACGUGCCAGCAGCCGCGGUAACACGUAAGGGGCGAGCGUUGUUCGGAAUUAUUGGGCGUAAAGGGCAUGUAGGCGGUUGUAUAAGCCUGAUGUGAAAUCCUGAGGCUUAACCUCAGAAUAGCAUUGGGUACUGUAUAGCUUGAAUUACGGAAGGGAAACUGGAAUUCCAAGUGUAGGGGUGGAAUCUGUAGAUAUUUGGAAGAACACCGGUGGCGAAGGCGGGUUUCUGGCCGAUAAUUGACGCUGAGAUGCGAAAGUGUGGGGAUCGAACAGGAUUAGAUACCCUGGUAGUC